Serinus canaria (Common canary) is the source of this 1604-nucleotide long non-coding RNA. Lineage: Eukaryota; Metazoa; Chordata; Aves; Passeriformes; Fringillidae. The record is from Ensembl.
CCGAGCCCUCCGUGCCCCCGCUGGCAGAAAACGAUCCCGGCGUGCGGCCCCACCGGCUUCAUCGAGAAGAUCAACUGCGCCUCGUCCCACCGGGAUGAGUACAAGAGCUGCCGCUCGGCCGCGCUGGAGGCGCAGCGGUUCUGGCGCUUCGUGGGCUCCGCUCUGGGCGUGGCGGCGGCGGCGGCGGCGCUGGUGGUGCUGCGGCAGCGCGUGCUGGACCGGCGGGCGCUGGAGAAGGUCCGCAAACAGAUCGAGUCCAUUUAGCCCAAGGCUCCCGAGGGCUUGGAGCCGGGAAUUCUGCUCGCCCGGAGCGGUGGGAGGAGAGGCAGCCCCAGACUUGCUGCCCGGACCUGGAGUCCUGCUGGGAUCUGCCCUGGGAGGGCAUCCAGGGCAUCCCCUGGAGCAGGAUGUGGAACAAAUCCUUGGGUUCAUCCCUUGGGGGGAAUCCCCGUGCCCCCAGCGCUGGGAUCUGCUCUGGGAUCAUCCUCCAGGAGAGGGAUGUGGAAUAAAUCCUGGUCAUCGUUCCUGGAGUGAUGCUGUGGUUGUUUCUUGGGAGGAUCCCUGGUUCCUCAGGAACCCUCCCCAGGAGUGGAAUGUGGAAUAAAUCCUGAUCCCUGUGACUGGAGCAGCACUGGAACAUUUGGCCUUUGUGGGUCCCCCGACAUUCCAUGGUGUGCAAACAGAGUUCGGGUUUAUUCUGGAACGUUCCCCCACCCUGAGGUCCCCCCAUCACAUCUCAUCCCCAUGUCCCCGUGUCCCUGUCCCCGUGUUCUGCCUGGAGGAAUUGGUGCCUGGAUUCCUCCGGGGUGCGGGAAUUCCAUCCCCAGGCCCCUCCCUGGCUCCGUCCUCCACUCCCGAUCCCGGCUCUGGCCCCGACAUCCACCGGGGGAACAGGGAUUCUGCGGCCUCUCCCGGUUCCCGCCGCGUCAGGAUGUUCCUGGAGAUCACUGCGGGAACGGGGACAGCCAUGGGGCCGCGUGGGGGCGGGAGGGGCUGUGCCCGACCCCUCCCGGUGCUCCCGUUACCUCCGGUGGGUCCGAGGCCGUCCCGGCUGCCGCCGCGGCGGAACGGGCUGGAGCUGGGGAGCAGGAUCAGCCCCAGGGACAGGAACAGGAUCUGCGGGAGGGGUGGGAGCCGUGAGCCCCGGAGCGGGGCCGGGAUGGUACCGGGAGGGUCCCGGAGAGGCCGUACCAGGACACAGGUGCCGGUCUGCGCGGGCUUGGUGGACGUUUCCUUGAUCAGCGCCUGGAGCUGCCGCAGGAGAGACCUGCGGGAAGGGGGUUCAGCUCCGUGCCCCAUCCCGGUGCCCCAUCCCGGCUCCGUGCCCCUCCCGGUGCCUCCCGUGCUCACCCGUUGCUCGUCUCCAGCUCCUGGACCUUUUUCCGCAGCUCCUGGUUCAGGGCAGAGCACGCGGCAGCCCUGACAGAAACAGGGACAAUAACCGGGAUGGGGACACACCGGGGCGUGCCGGGAUAACCGGAAGGUCGGGAUAACGGCAACGCCAGCCCCACCUGCUCUCCAGCUCGUCCAGGUAUUCCUUCUUCCUCCGCCGGCUGUCCUGCGCCGACUGCUUGUUCCGGAUCUUCCUCCGCACCUUUUUUAGG